RNAcentral lists this ribosomal RNA (686 nucleotides) under Rhizopogon alexsmithii. RNAcentral describes it as "LSU rRNA". It matches the Rfam family "Eukaryotic large subunit ribosomal RNA", at positions 38 to 683 of the family's 3401-position model. Lineage: Eukaryota; Fungi; Basidiomycota; Agaricomycetes; Boletales; Rhizopogonaceae. The record is from RNAcentral.
GCAUAUCAAUAAGCGGAGGAAAAGAAACUAACAAGGGAUUCCCCUAGUAACUGCGAGUGAACCGGGAAAAGCUCAAAUUUUGAAUCUGGCAGUCUUUUAGAUUGUCCGAGUUGUAAUCUAGAGAAGUGUUUUCCGCGCUGGACCGUGUAUAAGUUUCCUGGAAAGGAACGUCAUAGAGGGUGAAAAUCCCGUCUUUGACACGGACUACCAGGGCUAUGUGAUGCACUCUCGACGAGUCGAGUUGUUUGGGAAUGCAGCUCAAAUAGGGUGGUAAAUUCCAUCUAAAGCUAAAUAUAGGCGAGAGACCGAUAGCGAACAAGUACCGUGAGGGAAAGAUGAAAAGAACUUUGGAAAGAGAGUUAAACAGUAUGUGAAAUUGCUGAAAGGGAAACGCUUGAUGUCAGUCGCGUUGGCUGGGGAUCAGUCUUGCUUAACUGCGAGGCGUAGUUCCUGGUUGACGGGUCAGUAUCAGUUUUGACCGUCGGAAAAGGGCUUAGGGAAUGUGGCACUCUCUUGGGGGUGUGUUAUAGCCUUGGGUCUUGAAUACAAUGGUUGGGACUGAGGAACUCAGCAUGAGAGGGAAACCUUUCUUUUUGGGGCUUCGGCUCACAUUUACAUGCUUAGGAUACUGGCAUAAUGGCAUUAAGCGACCCGUCUUGAAACACGGACCAAGGAGUCUAACAUGC